This 462-nucleotide ribosomal RNA is filed under the name uncultured bacterium. Its description in RNAcentral is "bacterial SSU rRNA". It matches the Rfam family "Bacterial small subunit ribosomal RNA", at positions 342 to 793 of the family's 1533-position model. The record is from RNAcentral.
GGGGAGGCAGCAGUGGGGAAUAUUGCACAAUCGGGGGAAACCCUGAUGCAGCCAUGCCGCGUGUGUGAAGAAGGCCUUCGGGUUGUAAAGCACUUUCAGUAGGGAGGAAGGUAGUGUAGUUAACACCUGCAUUAUUUGACGUUACCUACAGAAGAAGCACCGGCUAACUCCGUGCCAGCAGCCGCGGUAAUACGGAGGGUGCGAGCGUUAAUCGGAAUUACUGGGCGUAAAGCGCAUGCAGGCGGCCUGUUAAGUCAGAUGUGAAAGCCCGGGGCUUAACCUACGGAAUUGCAUUUGAAACUGGCAGGCUAGAGUCUUGUAGAGGGGGGUAGGAAUUUCAGGUGUAGCGGUGAAAUGCGUAGAGAUCUGAAGGAAUACCAGUGGCGAAGGCGGCCCCCUGGACAAAGACUGACGCUCAGAUGCGAAAGCGUGGGGAGCAAACAGGAUUAGAUACCCUGGUAG